This 443-nucleotide long non-coding RNA is filed under the name Macaca mulatta (Rhesus monkey). RNAcentral describes it as "lncRNA (ENSMMUG00000061581.1)". The record is from RNAcentral. Lineage: Eukaryota; Metazoa; Chordata; Mammalia; Primates; Cercopithecidae.
UGCUUUCAUCAAUGAGUUUAAAAAUAUUUUCUUCUUUGUAGCAAACUUCUAAAUUUUAUUGCUUCUACUUUUUCAGUCUACUUCUCUACACCUUGCUGAUUGCUUUGUAUCAGAAAGAGAUUCAUAUAAGAUGAUAAUAUGCUCCUGGAAAUAUUUCAGCAGACCAUCACAUCUCAUUCUUUAUGGUAGAAUAAUUUUUAAGCCUUCUUGAGGUGAUGUUAACCAAACUGUUCCUAACUUUUCAUCUCUUACCAAGAAGUUUCUUAUAUCAUUUCCAUGAAUUUUGUUAUGCUUGCACAACAUACCGUGAAACAUUCUGUUGGAAAAUGUGACAGAAAAGCCACUGAGAAAAUGCAGAAUUCAUUGUUUGUUACUUGCCUAAGAUGUACAUAAAGUUGAACCUGCUAAAGGUGGGAGCUGUGGACCUUAUAAGCUGGAGCUGU